RNAcentral lists this ribosomal RNA (991 nucleotides) under Lactiplantibacillus plantarum. Its description in RNAcentral is "bacterial SSU rRNA". It matches the Rfam family "Bacterial small subunit ribosomal RNA", at positions 38 to 994 of the family's 1533-position model. Lineage: Bacteria; Bacillati; Bacillota; Bacilli; Lactobacillales; Lactobacillaceae. The record is from RNAcentral.
GGCGGCUUGCCUAUACAUGCGAGUCGAACGAACUCUGGUAUUGAUUGGUGCUUGCAUCAUGAUUUACAUUUGAGUGAGUGGCGAACUGGUGAGUAACACGUGGGAAACCUGCCCAGAAGCGGGGGAUAACACCUGGAAACAGAUGCUAAUACCGCAUAACAACUUGGACCGCAUGGUCCGAGCUUGAAAGAUGGCUUCGGCUAUCACUUUUGGAUGGUCCCGCGGCGUAUUAGCUAGAUGGUGGGGUAACGGCUCACCAUGGCAAUGAUACGUAGCCGACCUGAGAGGGUAAUCGGCCACAUUGGGACUGAGACACGGCCCAAACUCCUACGGGAGGCAGCAGUAGGGAAUCUUCCACAAUGGACGAAAGUCUGAUGGAGCAACGCCGCGUGAGUGAAGAAGGGUUUCGGCUCGUAAAACUCUGUUGUUAAAGAAGAACAUAUCUGAGAGUAACUGUUCAGGUAUUGACGGUAUUUAACCAGAAAGCCACGGCUAACUACGUGCCAGCAGCCGCGGUAAUACGUAGGUGGCAAGCGUUGUCCGGAUUUAUUGGGCGUAAAGCGAGCGCAGGCGGUUUUUUAAGUCUGAUGUGAAAGCCUUCGGCUCAACCGAAGAAGUGCAUCGGAAACUGGGAAACUUGAGUGCAGAAGAGGACAGUGGAACUCCAUGUGUAGCGGUGAAAUGCGUAGAUAUAUGGAAGAACACCAGUGGCGAAGGCGGCUGUCUGGUCUGUAACUGACGCUGAGGCUCGAAAGUAUGGGUAGCAAACAGGAUUAGAUACCCUGGUAGUCCAUACCGUAAACGAUGAAUGCUAAGUGUUGGAGGGUUUCCGCCCUUCAGUGCUGCAGCUAACGCAUUAAGCAUUCCGCCUGGGGAGUACGGCCGCAAGGCUGAAACUCAAAGGAAUUGACGGGGGCCCGCACAAGCGGUGGAGCAUGUGGUUUAAUUCGAAGCUACGCGAAGAACCUUACCAGGUCUCGACAUACUAUGC